RNAcentral lists this small RNA (125 nucleotides) under Marmota monax (woodchuck). The record is from RNAcentral. Lineage: Eukaryota; Metazoa; Chordata; Mammalia; Rodentia; Sciuridae.
GCCAGGUGUGGUGGUGCACGCCUGUAAUCCCAGAGACUCUGGAGGCUGAGGCAGGAGGAUCACAAGUUCAAAACCAGCCUCAGCAAUUAGGAAGCCCUAAGCAACUUAGUGAGACCCUGUCUCAA